RNAcentral lists this ribosomal RNA (302 nucleotides) under Clostridioides difficile. Its description in RNAcentral is "bacterial LSU rRNA". It matches the Rfam family "Bacterial large subunit ribosomal RNA", at positions 2543 to 2847 of the family's 2925-position model. The record is from RNAcentral. Lineage: Bacteria; Bacillati; Bacillota; Clostridia; Peptostreptococcales; Peptostreptococcaceae.
CAUCCUGGGGCUGUAGUAGGUCCCAAGGGUUGGGCUGUUCGCCCAUUAAAGUGGUACGCGAGCUGGGUUCAGAACGUCGUGAGACAGUUCGGUCCCUAUCCGUCGCAGGCGUAGGCAAUUUGAGAAGACCUUUCCUUAGUACGAGAGGACCGGGCUGGACGUACCUCUGGUGUACCAGUUGUCCUGCCAAGGGCAUGGCUGGGUAGCUAUGUACGGAAUGGAUAAGCGCUGAAAGCAUCUAAGCGCGAAGCCCACUUCAAGAUACGAUUUCCCACCGCAAGGGUAAGACCCCAGAAAGACUA